CGAGACAAGGGAGAGAGAAAAGGAGAGCAAGAGCAACAAAUUUCCUUCUUGAUUUGCUUCAACCCAAGUAACAAAUCCAAUUCUAAACCGAUUAAAGUACUAAGUGUGAGUUGGGAAGCUUGAGGAACCAAGAAAUAUCAAAGGGGGUGAAGGAUCACUCUACCAAGCCUUGCUUUUGAGGUACCAACAUUUGAUCAUGAUCUUUGUUGCUUUGAAUCUUGCUUUAAGAUGUGUUUGUAGCUUAAGUUUUGGCUUGAUUUCAUGAUUAUGCAAGUGGGUGUGAUGAAUUUGGAAGUUUUCCCCUUUUAUAUGAUGAACUAGGGCUUGAGAAAUUUCUGCCCAAUUUGUUGUAUGAUGCUUGUAUGUUGCAAUUAAGGUUGUAUAAGGUGUUUUGGUAGUGAUUAGAACAAGAAAAUUGAGGAAGUUCCAUUGAUUGCAAAAAAUUCCAGAAUCUGGAAAAUUUUUCCCAACAUUCUGUCCGAAUUUGUAACCCUAUGUUAGAGGCUGAAUUGGCCUUAGGUCAAAGAAUGAAAGUUGUAGAGAAUGGUAUUUUAUAGGUGCCUACAAAAUUUCAGCUCAAUCGGAGCAACGUAGGUCGUGAAAAGUCCAAAAUACCCUUACUGUUUUAAGUAUUUCUCCAGCAGUCCGUUUCAUCAGUUAGUCCAGUUUAUCACGUUUUUUGACUAGGAUACGUACUGAUUUAGGUCUUGGCCAAAACAUGAAAGUUGUAGUAUUCUGACUUAGCUUUCAAAUGCCUCUAAGAACACCUGAUUUGGACUUUUGGACUCUGAGAUAUGAUCAUUACAGUGUAAUGCGGUUAAGUAGUUGACAAAUUGGAUUUUGGUUCUGUAAUUUGAGAAUUUGACUAAGUUGCACUAGGAACUGGACUAAGUGACCUUCAUGAACAUUGUAUCCCUGAGUCUUAGCUUCGAAACGGCAUAGGUUGCGCCUCAAUCCGAUAAGCGUAGCCUCGGAUAUGUUAUUUCCGCAUCCAUAUGUCAAAUCUGUCUUUUGCUAAAUUGAAUUUCUGCACUUGCUAUUAUUGUGAAUCUUGUUCUUAUGAUAUUGUGAGCCUAUGGAAUGGCUCUUGACUUGAAUUGCUUAUAUAUGUAACUUUGGGUUGUGGCUGAGAAAAAUAAUGAAGCCUAAAUGGCUGGAAAAUUAGGUAAACACAAAGGGCAUGCUGCCCGAAUUUUUAUUCGAGAACUAGAAAACUAUAUUUGCAACUUGAGUGAAGGUUAAGUGAUUACCACUUGAACUAGCGAGAACUUUUGCUACUUUGUUAUUGAUGGUUAUACGUUAAAAACCUAAACGAACUUGUACUCUUGAGGAAAAGAUAUAAUGGCCAAUGUAAACUUGUAUUUCCUUGUACUUUCAACUCAAGUAUUGUUCCAAGUAUAUAUGCUACAAAAACCUUAUGAUUUGAAAAGCGAGCAAGUGUUUCACGAAUGCCUUUCAAAUGAAUUUCAAUUGGUUGAUUCUUAUGAACGGAACGUUUAAGUUUCAAAUCUUACUCGUGUUUCAAAGUUCUCAAAUUGGAUUUCUAUCGCAGAUCUGGACUCUAAGCCUGAAGUGUAAUUGAACGUGAAUACUUGAGGCACUAUAUUGUGGCAAGUGCUUCCAAAUAUUCGAUUGUACUUGAUAUAUGUGUUCCUCACUUGACUUAUAUGAUUACAUGAAAAUGAAUGAUAAGGCAAGGGUGUAGCUUUAUUUGUGAUUAAAAUGCUAAAAAGGUGAUAGGAACUUGCGGGUUUUAGACUUUCUUUUGCUUGACAUGGUCAUUGUAAUUUAGGGCUUGGACUUGAGCAUGGCAAUAAGGUAUGAUGGAUAGUUCCUGCGCUGUAGUUGGUGAGUGAUCUCUCGACUGUUCCCAAAGUUACUUUUGAACUAAUUCUUGCAUUUAUUACUCCAUUACAUAUCAUUUGGGUUCGGGUGUAUGUCAUGACAUAAUUUGGUUCCAAUGAGUUCCUGGAAAGUCUUGUGCUUAGAACCAAUGUCUCCUCUACUGUUUACAUAUUCUUUGGAGCACGAUGGCUCCUUACUUCUGUUUCACAGUUACCUGAUCUAAACGAGCAUUGGAUAUUUAAGUACAAGAACUUCACUGACUCUCGUGAGCAAUAAAUGAACAUUUGAUUACUGUAUCAUGGCAUCAUAUCAAUGCUUUAUUGUGAAAUAUACUUGGCUGUUGAUUUUACUGGUCACUCGCUGAGCUUCUAGCUCACCCCCUAUUAUCUUCUUCUCCCCACAGGGAUCGAGGUAAAGGAAGAACUUGUAUUUGGAUCUUUGUGUGGCUGGAUGGCGUACAUCUUGUAUAGUUUAGUUUUGAUUUUGGUUUAUGUACUUUUGGGCUUGUAUAAAUAUUUGGAAUUGAAUCGGAUGUAAAUCUACAUUUUACGCUUAGAACUAGUUUCCGCUUCGCUUAGGAUAUGUAAUUUUGGAGAAUUGGAUGUAUUAUUUGAGUUGUAUCUUGUAAUUUACUUGAGGAAUGUAGUAAGUGAGUGAGUCCCGGCGAGAGUUGGGCAGGCGGCCCGUCGAACCCUCUGAUUCGCCUCAGGGGGAGGUGGGGGCGUGACAAUUGAUAACUUUAAGGGUUUGUUUGAUAACAUAAAAAA
RNAcentral lists this long non-coding RNA (2612 nucleotides) under Coffea arabica (coffee). Its description in RNAcentral is "long non-coding RNA (CARA_LNC000415)". Lineage: Eukaryota; Viridiplantae; Streptophyta; Magnoliopsida; Gentianales; Rubiaceae. The record is from RNAcentral.